GAUGAACGCUAGCGGCAGGCUUAAUACAUGCAAGUCGAGGGGCAGCAGGACUGUAGCAAUACAGUUGCUGGCGACCGGCAAACGGGUGCGGCACACGUACGCAACCUACCCAAAACUGGGGGAUAGCCCGGGGAAACCCGGAUUAAUACCUCGUAACCUUGUUAAGUGGCAUCACUUGGUAAGUAUAGCUCCGGCGGUUUUGGAUGGGCGUGCGCCUGAUUAGGUAGUUGGUGCGGGUAACGGCCCACCAGGCCUGCGAUCAGUAACUGGUGUGAGAGCACGACCAGUCACACGGGCACUGAGACACGGGCCCGACUCCUACGGGAGGCAGCAGUAAGGAAUAUUGGUCAAUGGACGCAAGUCUGAACCAGCCAUGCCGCGUGAAGGAUGAAGGUCCUCUGGAUUGUAAACUUCUUUUAUGGGGGACGAAACCCGGAUAUUCUUAUCCGAUUGACGGUACCUCAGGAAUAAGCACCGGCUAACUCCGUG
This 489-nucleotide ribosomal RNA is filed under the name uncultured bacterium. RNAcentral's name for it is "partial 16S ribosomal RNA". It matches the Rfam family "Bacterial small subunit ribosomal RNA", at positions 28 to 507 of the family's 1533-position model. The record is from RNAcentral.